Long non-coding RNA from Monomorium pharaonis (pharaoh ant), 279 nucleotides. RefSeq lists it as uncharacterized. The transcript is spliced from 2 exons. The record is from RefSeq and is a predicted model, not a curated record. Lineage: Eukaryota; Metazoa; Arthropoda; Insecta; Hymenoptera; Formicidae.
CGGAUGAUUGUAGUUUCGAUCUGCCCCACAUUUGCAUCCCCGUCGCGUCAUGUUGUCUGAAAAAUGCAGAAGCACGAGCAUUGAUCACGUGUCUGAAAAAUUCGCGUUUCAUCAUCGGAUAUGUCUAUUUUCGCGCAGAACGAGCAAGCUAGAGAGCAAUGCAACGCGACGUCGUCGUAGUUGAAGGUAUGAUUUCGAGGAUGUAGAUAACCAAUUAAUCGAUCUUGUAGCUAGACAUAAGGCGUGAAACCAGUUACAAUAUCGAAUCUGUGAAAAGAG